AGGAUCAUUAUUGAAUUUUGAAAGGGUUGUUGCUGAUCUUUUAGAUACGUGCACGCCUUGUUCCAAAUUUCUACACCUUGUGCACAUUUUGUAGACCGGUUUCAUUAGAAAUCGGUUUAUGUUUUAUUAUAUAUACACUUGUUUUAGAAUGUCAUAUAAUAAGCUUGUUAGCAAGCUUAACAAAUUUAAUACAACUUUCAACAACGGAUCUCUUGGCUCUCGCAUCGAUGAAGAACGCAGCGAAAUGCGAUAAGUAAUGUGAAUUGCAGAAUUCAGUGAAUCAUCGAAUCUUUGAACGCACCUUGCGCUCCUUGGUAUUCCGAGGAGCAUGCCUGUUUGAGUGUCAUUAAAUUCUCAACUUCAAUAAUUUGAAGUUUGGAUUUUGGGGGUAUUUGCUGGCUGUCAAUGUCGGCUCCUCUUAAAUGUAUUAGCUAUCCUUUGCGGAUAGGCUUUGGUUUGAUAAUAUCUAUGCCAUUGCCGUGAAGCAAAUGACAGCUUCCAACCGUCUUAAUUUUUGACAACUCUUUUAAUUUUGACCUCAAAUCAGGUAGGACUACCCGCUGAACUUAAGCAUAUCAAUAAGCGGAGGAAAAGAAACUAACAAGGAUUCCCCUAGUAACUGCGAGUGAAGCGGGAAAAGCUCAAAUUUAAAAUCUGAUGGUCUUAUGGCUGUCCGAGUUGUAAUCUAGAGAAGUGUUUUCCGCGCUGGACCGUGUACAAGUCUCUUGGAACAGAGCAUCAUAGAGGGUGAGAAUCCCGUCUUUAACACAGACUACCAGUGCUUAUGUGAUUCGCUCUCAAAGAGUCGAGUUGUUUGGGAAUGCAGCUCAAAAUGGGUGGUAAAUUCCAUCUAAAGCUAAAUAUUGGCGAGAGACCGAUAGCGAACAAGUACCGUGAGGGAAAGAUGAAAAGAACUUUGGAAAGAGAGUUAAACAGUACGUGAAAUUGUUGAAAGGGAAACGCUUGAAGUCAGUCAUGUUGGCCAGAAAUCAACCUUGUCUUUUGCUGGGUGUACUUUCUGGUUUUUACGGGUCAGCAUCAAUUUUGACUGUUGGAUAAAAGCUAAUCUUUNUUCAUCUUCGGAUGUGUAACCUUUGGUUGUAUACAACAGNNNNNAUUGAGGAACUCAGCACGCCGUAAAGGCCGGGUCCAUUGGACCACGUACGUGCUUA
RNAcentral lists this ribosomal RNA (1172 nucleotides) under Hygrophorus chrysodon. Its description in RNAcentral is "eukaryotic LSU rRNA". The stretch from base 534 to 1172 matches the Rfam family "Eukaryotic large subunit ribosomal RNA", at positions 1 to 621 of the family's 3401-position model. Lineage: Eukaryota; Fungi; Basidiomycota; Agaricomycetes; Agaricales; Hygrophoraceae. The record is from RNAcentral.